UACGAAGGGGGCUAGCGUUGCUCGGAAUCACUGGGCGUAAAGCGCACGUAAGCGGAUUGUUAAGUCAGGGGUGAAAUCCUGGAGCUCAACUCCAGAACUGCCUUUGAUACUGGCGAUCUCGAGUCCGGGAGAGGUGAGUGGAACUGCGAGUGUAGAGGUGAAAUUCGUAGAUAUUCGCAAGAACACCAGUGGCGAAGGCGGCUCACUGGCCCGGUACUGACGCUGAGGUGCGAAAGCGUGGGGAGCAAACAGG
RNAcentral lists this ribosomal RNA (253 nucleotides) under uncultured bacterium. RNAcentral describes it as "partial 16S ribosomal RNA". It matches the Rfam family "Bacterial small subunit ribosomal RNA", at positions 524 to 776 of the family's 1533-position model. The record is from RNAcentral.